UGAUGGGAGUGUUGAAAUGAAGAAGAGAAUAACCAGAGAAAAUGAGUUAGUUUGAGAUCAAAAGAGAGUUCAUCAAGAGAAGCCAAUGGCCCAUUGUUGAAGUUGAAUCAUGGACAGUCAAAUCGUGGACACUUGAAUCAUGGACAGUGAAUCGUGGACAGCUGAAUCCAAAGUUCCCCAACAUGUUGAAGCUUCAAGUAAACUAAGUUUGGAUGCAAUGGUUUAAUUCUGGUCAGAAUUGGACAAGAAGAAGUCACAUGGGGGCUUAGAGAAGCAACCGGACUUGUCACUAUCCAACCAUGAAGAAUGCACCUUGCUGAUGUCACUUUCACUUCAUCUGUUUGAGCGAGGCUUGGUUUUAUCCUCUUUGUCCUGAUCAGAACCCUGUAAUAUUAAUUGUUUAGAUUUCUCAGAUUUAGUAAUUGUUUAUUACAAGUGAUUGUCUAUUUGAAGAACUUCACCAUCUCUUGUCACAUCAACUAGAAUCAAUAUACAAGUUUCUCUCAUCAA
This 510-nucleotide long non-coding RNA is filed under the name Brassica napus (rape). RNAcentral describes it as "long non-coding RNA (BNAP_LNC009777)". Lineage: Eukaryota; Viridiplantae; Streptophyta; Magnoliopsida; Brassicales; Brassicaceae. The record is from RNAcentral.